This is a non-coding RNA of Cyanistes caeruleus (blue tit), 878 nucleotides long. The record is from RefSeq and is a predicted model, not a curated record. Lineage: Eukaryota; Metazoa; Chordata; Aves; Passeriformes; Paridae.
CCUCCUUAUGACUGUUCCAGAGAUAGAGGCAGAUAGAAUCAAAUGCAUGUUAAGCUCACUAAUGGUAGCUGGGUAAAGUGUUCCUUCCAUAAUUACCAAAAAUAUUUUGAAGGCUGUAAAGCAGUGGGGAAAGAUAAGUUUUUUGACCCUUUAUUUUUAAGCUGCCCCUGGGAUAAUUCCACAAGUCAGACACAUGUUGUCCGAGACUAUCAGUGGAAAUGGCAACACCGAAAUGGAACUAGAACCCUUUUUAACAGGUUCUGGUCCAGAUCUAAUAAAACAGAUCUGGGAUGUGAUUGCAAGUAGAAACCUCAUGUAAGAGCUUGGAAAUGUAAAUAUUGUGAUUCUUACAGCGAAGCAACUAUUGUGGGUGGACCCCUAGGCCCUGGAAGCAAGCUGUAUUUUGACCCACCAGUUGAUGAUGAAAAUUGGAAAGGUCCCUUCGCUAAUGGGACCUGGGCUCUAAAGAGGCACUACUGAAUUUGUGGCCAAAAUGCUUACUGCAGGCUACCUCCAAACUGGCCAGGGAUAUGUUAUGUGGGGUAUAUUAGACCAUUGUUCUUUCUGCUACCACAAGUUCAAGGAAAUCAGUUAGGAAUCAAAGUAUAUGAUGAUCUAACUAGAGAGAAGCGGUCCAUUGAUACAUCCCUGGUUGGAAGGAGCACCCAAAAGUAGGGAAAAGAUGAAUGGCCACCUAAACGGAUCAUACAACACUAUGGACCAGCUACCUGGAACCCAAAUGAAUUAAUAUCAGGUGCCAGAGAACCCAUUUAUAAUCUAAAUCGGAUAAUUAGGUUGCAAGCUGUCUUUGAAAUAAUAAUCAACCAGACAGCUACAGCUCUUGACCUUCUUGCUGACCAGUCUACUCAGAUGAGAAA